ACAUCGGUAGCACAGUGGUCAGUGCAGUCUGCCGUAGACAGAAGGACGCGGGUUCAAUUCCCGUCUGGUGUC
RNAcentral lists this transfer RNA (72 nucleotides) under Nippostrongylus brasiliensis. It matches the Rfam family "tRNA". Rfam says of the family: Transfer RNA (tRNA) molecules are approximately 80 nucleotides in length. Their secondary structure includes four short double-helical elements and three loops (D, anti-codon, and T loops). Lineage: Eukaryota; Metazoa; Nematoda; Chromadorea; Rhabditida; Heligmosomidae. The record is from Rfam by way of RNAcentral.